RNAcentral lists this ribosomal RNA (633 nucleotides) under Microbacterium sp. So1Ps_521. RNAcentral's name for it is "bacterial SSU rRNA". It matches the Rfam family "Bacterial small subunit ribosomal RNA", at positions 380 to 1022 of the family's 1533-position model. The record is from RNAcentral. Lineage: Bacteria; Bacillati; Actinomycetota; Actinomycetes; Micrococcales; Microbacteriaceae.
AGCCUGAUGCAGCAACGCCGCGUGAGGGACGACGGCCUUCGGGUUGUAAACCUCUUUUAGCAGGGAAGAAGCGAAAGUGACGGUACCUGCAGAAAAAGCACCGGCUAACUACGUGCCAGCAGCCGCGGUAAUACGUAGGGUGCAAGCGUUAUCCGGAAUUAUUGGGCGUAAAGAGCUCGUAGGCGGUUUGUCGCGUCUGCUGUGAAACCCCGAGGCUCAACCUCGGGCCUGCAGUGGGUACGGGCAGACUAGAGUGCGGUAGGGGAGAUUGGAAUUCCUGGUGUAGCGGUGGAAUGCGCAGAUAUCAGGAGGAACACCGAUGGCGAAGGCAGAUCUCUGGGCCGUAACUGACGCUGAGGAGCGAAAGGGUGGGGAGCAAACAGGCUUAGAUACCCUGGUAGUCCACCCCGUAAACGUUGGGAACUAGUUGUGGGGUCCAUUCCACGGAUUCCGUGACGCAGCUAACGCAUUAAGUUCCCCGCCUGGGGAGUACGGCCGCAAGGCUAAAACUCAAAGGAAUUGACGGGGACCCGCACAAGCGGCGGAGCAUGCGGAUUAAUUCGAUGCAACGCGAAGAACCUUACCAAGGCUUGACAUAUACGAGAACGCUGCAGAAAUGUAGAACUCUUUGGA